AUUGAACGCUGGCGGCAGGCCUAACACAUGCAAGUCGAACGAGUGGCGGACGGGUGAGUAAUGUCUGGGAAACUGGCUGAUGGAGGGGGAUAACUACGGGAAACUGUAGCUAAUACCGCGUACCAUCGGCUGUGCCCAAGUGGGAUUAGCUAGUUGGUGGGGUAAAGGCUCACCAAGCCGACGAUCCCUAGCUGGUCUGAGAGGAUGACCCGCCACACUGGAACUGAGACACGGUCCAGACUCCUACGGGAGGCAGCAGUGGGGAAUAUUGCACAAUGGGGGCAAGCCUGAUGCAGCCAUGCCGCGUGAAUGAAGAAGGCCUUCGGGUUGUAAAGUACUUUCAGCGGGGAGGCGUUACCUGCAGAAGAAGCACCGGCUAACUCCGUGCCAGCCGCCGCGGUAAUAC
RNAcentral lists this ribosomal RNA (406 nucleotides) under uncultured bacterium. Its description in RNAcentral is "partial 16S ribosomal RNA". It matches the Rfam family "Bacterial small subunit ribosomal RNA", at positions 30 to 526 of the family's 1533-position model. The record is from RNAcentral.